Molecule: small RNA, 98 nt
Filed under: Mesocricetus auratus (golden hamster)
Lineage: Eukaryota; Metazoa; Chordata; Mammalia; Rodentia; Cricetidae
Description: 7SK RNA (ENSMAUG00000004562.1)
Rfam family: 7SK RNA
About the family: 7SK was discovered as an abundant small nuclear RNA in the mid-70s but a possible function has only recently been suggested. Two independent studies have found that 7SK RNA binds the CDK9/cyclin T complex (known as elongation factor P-TEFb).
Source: RNAcentral
ACCGGUCUUCGGUCAAGGGUAUACGAGUAGCUGCGCUCCCCUGCUAGAACCUCCAAACAAGCUCUCAAGACUAGAUUUCUAAGAGAUAAUAAUAAAAC